GCUAGUGUAGCUCAGUCGGUAGAGCAGCUGAUUCGUAAUCAGCAGGUCUCUGGUUGUUGAUAAGGUGACAAAAUAGGAUAAGGUGAAAGUCAAUCCUCAUAGUA
RNAcentral lists this transfer RNA (104 nucleotides) under Escherichia coli. RNAcentral's name for it is "tRNA-Thr". The stretch from base 1 to 55 matches the Rfam family "tRNA". Rfam says of the family: Transfer RNA (tRNA) molecules are approximately 80 nucleotides in length. Their secondary structure includes four short double-helical elements and three loops (D, anti-codon, and T loops). RNAcentral also lists the same sequence under 1 other name. Lineage: Bacteria; Pseudomonadati; Pseudomonadota; Gammaproteobacteria; Enterobacterales; Enterobacteriaceae. The record is from RNAcentral.